Molecule: ribosomal RNA, 253 nt
Filed under: uncultured bacterium
Lineage: Bacteria
Description: partial 16S ribosomal RNA
Rfam family: Bacterial small subunit ribosomal RNA
Source: RNAcentral
UACGAAGGGUGCAAGCGUUGUUCGGAUUUACUGGGCGUAAAGCGCGCGCAGGCGGAUCAGCAAGUCAGAUGUGAAAUCUCGGGGCUCAACCCCGAAACUGCGUCUGAAACUACUAAUCUAGAGUAUCGGAGGGGGAUGGGGAAUUUCCUGUGUAGGGGUAAAAUCCGUAGAGAUAGGAAGGAACACCAGUGGCGCAAGCGCCAUCCUGGACGAUAACUGACGCUGAGGCGCGAAAGCGUGGGGAGCAAACAGG